Molecule: ribosomal RNA, 413 nt
Filed under: uncultured bacterium
Lineage: Bacteria
Description: bacterial SSU rRNA
Rfam family: Bacterial small subunit ribosomal RNA
Source: RNAcentral
CCAGCCAUGCCGCGUGCAGGAUGACGGCCCUAWGGGUUGUAAACUGCUUUUAUAURGGAAGAAACCCCYGUACGUGUAGGUAGCUGACGGUACUAUAMGAAUAAGCACCGGCUAACUCCGUGCCAGCAGCCGCGGUAAUACGGAGGGUGCAAGCGUUAUCCGGAUUUAUUGGGUUUAAAGGGUGCGCAGGCGGAACRAUAAGUCAGUGGUGAAAUCCUACAGCUCAACUGUAGAACUGCCAUUGAUACUGUCAUUCUUGAGUACAGUUGAAGUGGGCGGAAUGUGUCAUGUAGCGGUGAAAUGCAUAGAUAUGAUACAGAACACCGAUAGCGAAGGCAGCUCACUAAACUGUAACUGACGCUCAGGCACGAAAGCGUGGGGAGCRAACAGGAUUAGAUACCCUGGUAGUCCAC